GACGAACGCUGGCGGCGUGCUUAACACAUGCAAGUCGAUCGGAAAGGCCCAGCUUGCUGGGUACUCGAGUGGCGAACGGGUGAGUAACACGUGGGUGAUCUGCCCUGCACUCUGGGAUAAGCCUGGGAAACUGGGUCUAAUACCGGAUAUGAUCAACUGUCGCAUGGUGGUUGGUGGAAAGCUUUUGCGGUGUGGGAUGGGCCCGCGGCCUAUCAGCUUGUUGGUGGGGUAAUGGCCUACCAAGGCGACGACGGGUAGCCGACCUGGGAGGGUGAUCGGCCACACUGGGACUGAGACACGGCCCAGACUCCUACGGGAGGCAGCAGUGGGGAAUAUUGCACAAUGGGCGCAAGCCUGAUGCAGCGACGCCGCGUGGGGGAUGACGGCCUUCGGGUUGUAAACCUCUUUCACCAGGGACGAAGCGUGAGUGACGGUACCUGGAGAAGAAGCACCGGCCAACUACGUGCCAGCCGCCGCCGUAA
RNAcentral lists this ribosomal RNA (482 nucleotides) under uncultured bacterium. RNAcentral's name for it is "partial 16S ribosomal RNA". It matches the Rfam family "Bacterial small subunit ribosomal RNA", at positions 28 to 523 of the family's 1533-position model. The record is from RNAcentral.